GCAGUAGCCGCGGGAAUACGGAGGGUGCAAGCGUUGUCCGGAUUUAUUGGGUUUAAAGGGUGCGUAGGCGGCUAUUUAAGUCAGCGGUGAAAGACUCCGGCUCAACCGGAGCAGUGCCAUUGAUACUGGAUAGCUUGAGUGUUGGAGGGGUACAUGGAAUUGAUGGUGUAGCGGUGAAAUGCAUAGAUACCAUCAGGAACACCGAUAGCGAAGGCAUUGUACUGGCCAACAACUGACGCUGAGGCACGAAAGCAUGGGGAGCGAACAGGAUUAGAUACCCCCGUAGUCCCUGUCUCUUAUAC
Molecule: ribosomal RNA, 302 nt
Filed under: uncultured bacterium
Lineage: Bacteria
Description: partial 16S ribosomal RNA
Rfam family: Bacterial small subunit ribosomal RNA
Source: RNAcentral